AACGAACGCUGGCGGCGCGCCUAAUACAUGCAAGUCGAGCGAGAAGACGUAGCAAUACGUUUGUAAAGCGGCGAACGGGUGAGGAAUACAUGGGUAACCUACCCUCGAGUGGGGAAUAACUAGCCGAAAGGUUAGCUAAUACCGCGUACGCUCCUUGGACUUCGGUUCAGGGAGGAAAGCGAUACCGUGGGUAUCGCGCUCUUGGAUGGGCUCAUGUCCUAUCAGCUUGUUGGUGAGGUAACGGCUCACCAAGGCUUCGACGGGUAGCUGGUCUGAGAGGACAAUCAGCCACACUGGCACUGCGACACGGGCCAGACUCCUACGGGAGGCAGCAGUAAGGAAUAUUGCGCAAUGGGCGAAAGCCUGACGCAGCGACGCCGCGUGGGGGAUGAAGGUCUUCGGAUUGUAAACCCCUUUCGGGAGGGAAGAUGGAACGAGCAAUCGUUCGGACGGUACCUCCAGAAGCAGCCACGGCUAACUUCGUGCCAGCAGCCG
Molecule: ribosomal RNA, 495 nt
Filed under: uncultured bacterium
Lineage: Bacteria
Description: bacterial SSU rRNA
Rfam family: Bacterial small subunit ribosomal RNA
Source: RNAcentral